Molecule: ribosomal RNA, 253 nt
Filed under: uncultured bacterium
Lineage: Bacteria
Description: partial 16S ribosomal RNA
Rfam family: Bacterial small subunit ribosomal RNA
Source: RNAcentral
UACGUAGGGGGCAAGCGUUGUCCGGAAUUAUUGGGCGUAAAGCGCGUGUAGGCGGCUCGGUAAGUCUGCUGUGAAAGUCCAAGGCUCAACCUUGGAAAGCCGGUGGAUACUGUCGAGCUCGAGUCCGGAAGAGGCGAGUGGAAUUCCUGGUGUAGCGGUGAAAUGCGCAGAUAUCAGGAGGAACACCAGCAGCGAAGGCGGCGCUCUGGGCUGGAACUGACGCUGAGGAGCGAAAGCGUGGGUAGCAAACAGG